RNAcentral lists this ribosomal RNA (1278 nucleotides) under uncultured bacterium. RNAcentral describes it as "bacterial SSU rRNA". It matches the Rfam family "Bacterial small subunit ribosomal RNA", at positions 88 to 1384 of the family's 1533-position model. The record is from RNAcentral.
UGACUGAGCGGCGGACGGGUGAGUAACGCGUGGGUAACCUGCCUCAUACAGGGGGAUAACAGUUGGAAACGGCUGCUAAUACCGCAUAAGCGCACAGUACCGCAUGGUACGGUGUGAAAAACUCCGGUGGUAUGAGAUGGACCCGCGUCUGAUUAGGUAGUUGGUGGGGUAACGGCCUACCAAGCCGACGAUCAGUAGCCGACCUGAGAGGGUGACCGGCCACAUUGGGACUGAGACACGGCCCAAACUCCUACGGGAGGCAGCAGUGGGGAAUAUUGCACAAUGGGGGAAACCCUGAUGCAGCGACGCCGCGUGAGCGAUGAAGUAUUUCGGUAUGUAAAGCUCUAUCAGCAGGGAAGAAAAUGACGGUACCUGACUAAGAAGCCCCGGCUAACUACGUGCCAGCAGCCGCGGUAAUACGUAGGGGGCAAGCGUUAUCCGGAUUUACUGGGUGUAAAGGGAGCGUAGACGGCAUGGCAAGCCAGAUGUGAAAGCCCGGGGCUCAACCCCGGGACUGCAUUUGGAACUGUCAGGCUAGAGUGUCGGAGAGGAAAGCGGAAUUCCUAGUGUAGCGGUGAAAUGCGUAGAUAUUAGGAGGAACACCAGUGGCGAAGGCGGCUUUCUGGACGGUGACUGACGUUGAGGCUCGAAAGCGUGGGGAGCAAACAGGAUUAGAUACCCUGGUAGUCCACGCCGUAAACGACGAAUAAGAGGUGUCGGGUGGCAAAGCCAUUCGGUGCCGCAGCAAAACGCAAUAAGUAUUCCACCUCGGGAGUACGUUCGCAAGAAUGAAACUCAAAGGAAUUGACGGGGACCCGCCCAAGCGGUGGAGCAUGUGGUUUAAUUUGAAGCAACGCGAAGAACCUUACCUGGUCUUGACAUCCCUCUGACCGCUCUUUAAUCGGAGCUUUCCUUCGGGACAGAGGAGACAGGUGGUGCAUGGUUGUCGUCAGCUCGUGUCGUGAGAUGUUGGGUUAAGUCCCGCAACGAGCGCAACCCCUAUCUUUAGUAGCCAGCAUUUCGGAUGGGCACUCUAGAGAGACUGCCAGGGAUAACCUGGAGGAAGGUGGGGAGGACGUCAAAUCAUCAUGCCCCUUAUGACCAGGGCUACACACGUGCUACAAUGGCGUAAACAAAGGGAAGCGAGCCCGCGAGGGGGAGCAAAUCCCAAAAAUAACGUCUCAGUUCGGAUUGUAGUCUGCAACUCGACUACAUGAAGCUGGAAUCGCUAGUAAUCGCGAAUCAGAAUGUCGCGGUGAAAAAGGUCCCGGGUCUUGC